RNAcentral lists this ribosomal RNA (490 nucleotides) under uncultured bacterium. Its description in RNAcentral is "partial 16S ribosomal RNA". It matches the Rfam family "Bacterial small subunit ribosomal RNA", at positions 30 to 507 of the family's 1533-position model. The record is from RNAcentral.
AUUGAACGCUGGCGGCAGGCCUAACACAUGCAAGUCGAACGGUAACAGGAAGCAGCUUGCUGCUUCGCUGACGAGUGGCGGACGGGUGAGUAAUGUCUGGGAAGCUGCCUGAUGGAGGGGGAUAACUACUGGAAACGGUAGCUAAUACCGCAUAAUGUCGCAAGACCAAAGAGGGGGACCUUCGGGCCUCUUGCCAUCGGAUGUGCCCAGAUGGGGUUAGCUUGUUGGUGGGGUAACGGCUCACCAAGGCGACGAUCCCUAGCUGGUCUGAGAGGAUGACCAGCCACACUGGGACUGAGACACGGUCCAGACUCCUACGGGAGGCAGCAGUGGGGAAUAUUGCACAAUGGGCGCAAGCCUGAUGCAGCCAUGCCGCGUGUAUGAAGAAGGCCUUCGGGUUGUAAAGUACUUUCAGCGGGGAGGAAGGGAGUAAAGUUAAUACCUUUGCUCAUUGACGUUACCCGCAGAAGAAGCACCGGCUAACUCCGUG